GACGAACCGGACAAACGUUAUUCGGAAUCACUGGGCUUAAAGGGUGCGUAGGCGGCGCUGAAAGUUGGGUGUGAAAUCCCUCGGCUCAACCGAGGAACUGCGCCCAAAACUGCAGUGCUUGAGGGAGAUAGAGGUGAGCGGAACUUAGGGUGGAGCGGUGAAAUGUGUUGAUAUCCUAAGGAACACCGGUGGCGAUAGCGGCUCACUGGGUCUCUUCUGACGCUGAGGCAGGAAAGCUAGGGUAGCGAACGGG
This 253-nucleotide ribosomal RNA is filed under the name uncultured bacterium. RNAcentral describes it as "partial 16S ribosomal RNA". It matches the Rfam family "Bacterial small subunit ribosomal RNA", at positions 524 to 776 of the family's 1533-position model. The record is from RNAcentral.